RNAcentral lists this ribosomal RNA (459 nucleotides) under uncultured bacterium. RNAcentral describes it as "partial 16S ribosomal RNA". It matches the Rfam family "Bacterial small subunit ribosomal RNA", at positions 29 to 507 of the family's 1533-position model. The record is from RNAcentral.
AACGAACGCUGGCGGCAUGCCUAACACAUGCAAGUCGAACGAGGCCGUCGGGUCUAGUGUCUCACGGGUGCGGAACGCGUGGGAACCUUCCCGUGGGGUCGGAAUAACUGCCCGCGGGGGAUGCUAAUACGGGAUGAUGGCUACGGACCAAAGAUUGAUGGCCUUGGGAUGUGCCCGCGUUGGAUUAGCUAGUUGGUAACGUAAAGGGCUACCAAGGCGGCGUUACCUAGCUGGUCUGAGAGGGGGAGCGGCCACACUGGGACGGAGACACGGCCCAGACUCCUGCGGGAGGCAGCAGUAGGGAAUCCUCGGCGAUGGACGGAAGUGGGAACGUGCAACGCCGCGGGAGUGAAGAAGCUAUUCGGACCGUGAGGCUCUGGAGUACGAGAGGAUCGAAAGGGUGAGUGGCAAGGGCACACAGUGACGGUAUCGGACCAGAAAGGGACGGCUAACUACGUG